This 253-nucleotide ribosomal RNA is filed under the name uncultured bacterium. RNAcentral's name for it is "partial 16S ribosomal RNA". It matches the Rfam family "Bacterial small subunit ribosomal RNA", at positions 524 to 776 of the family's 1533-position model. The record is from RNAcentral.
UACGUAGGAGGCAAGCGUUAUCCGGAUUUACUGGGUGUAAAGGGGGCGCAGACGGCGAUGCAAGCCAGGAGUGAAAGCCCGGGGCCCAACCCCGGGACUGCUCUUGGAACUGCGUGGCUGGAGUGCAGGAGGGGCAGGCGGAAUUCCUGGUGUAGCGGUGAAAUGCGUAGAUAUCAGGAGGAACACCGGUGGCGAAGGCGGCCUGCUGGACUGCAACUGACGUUGAGGCCCGAAAGCGUGGGGAGCAAACAGG